RNAcentral lists this long non-coding RNA (372 nucleotides) under Salmo salar (Atlantic salmon). RNAcentral's name for it is "lncRNA (ENSSSAG00000097005.1)". Lineage: Eukaryota; Metazoa; Chordata; Actinopteri; Salmoniformes; Salmonidae. The record is from RNAcentral.
GAUGGUCUUCCUCUGAGGAGCGUCAACUGGCGUGUCGCUUGUCAUUAAAGCAGCAAAAGGCUACAGUCACAGAGCCUCCGUGUGGCAAAAGUUAGGAAAUAUCUAACCAAUACAAGGUGGAAUUAAAAUUACGGAAUAAAAAGUUAAAGGAGAAGGAUAGACUACAACGACCAAGAGCCAACAGGAUGUAGGUGGGCGGAGCCGGGAGCGUCAUCAGCCAAAUUGGACAACCAGGCCCGGGUGUGUCCCAGGAUAAAUGCACCUCUUCACCAUUCAUUGAGGAGACUCUCUCCAUGCAGACACAGAUUUUGGUGGACUUCUCCUGUGGGAACAGCACAAAGCCCAGAGCGGACAUGGCCUUCCACUUCAACC